GCUUGUCUCAAAGAUUAAGCCAUGCAUGUCUAAGUGUAAAUAAGUCUAUACUGUGAAACUGCGAAUGGCUCAUUAAAUCAGUUAUCGUUUAUUUGAUGAUCUCUUACUACUUGGAUAACCGUAGUAAUUCUAGAGCUAAUACAUGCUGAAAAUCCCGACUUCGGAAGGGAUGUAUUUAUUAGAUUAAAAACCAAUGCCCCUCGGGGCUCUCUGGUGAAUCAUGAUAACUAGUCGAAUCGACAGGCCUUGUGCCGGCGAUGGCUCAUUCAAAUUUCUUCCCUAUCAACUUUCGAUGUUUGGGUAUUGGCCAAACAUGGUGGCAACGGGUAACGGAGGGUUAGGGCUCGACCCCGGAGAAGGAGCCUGAGAAACGGCUACUACAUCCAAGGAAGGCAGCAGG
RNAcentral lists this ribosomal RNA (400 nucleotides) under uncultured Sordariomycetes. RNAcentral describes it as "partial small subunit ribosomal RNA". It matches the Rfam family "Eukaryotic small subunit ribosomal RNA", at positions 30 to 432 of the family's 1831-position model. Lineage: Eukaryota; Fungi; Ascomycota; Sordariomycetes. The record is from RNAcentral.